Molecule: ribosomal RNA, 365 nt
Filed under: uncultured bacterium
Lineage: Bacteria
Description: bacterial SSU rRNA
Rfam family: Bacterial small subunit ribosomal RNA
Source: RNAcentral
UAUGAACGCUAGCGGCAGGCUUAAUACAUGCAAGUCGAGGGGCAGCAGGCCCCGACGCAAGUCGGGGUGCUGGCGACCGGCAAACGGGUGCGGAACACGUACACAACCUUCCUUUAAGUGGGGAAUAGCCCAGAGAAAUUUGGAUUAAUACCCCGUAACAUUAUGAUGUGGCAUCACAUUAUAAUUAUAGCUCCGGCGCUUAAUGAUGGGUGUGCGGCUGAUUAGAUAGUUGGCGGGGUAACGGCCCACCAAGCCUGCGAUCAGUAACUGGUGUGAGAGCACGACCAGUCACACGGGCACUGAGACACGGGCCCGACUCCUACGGGAGGCAGCAGUAAGGAAUAUUGGGCAAUGGAGGCAACUCU